Molecule: long non-coding RNA, 486 nt
Organism: Ostrea edulis (European flat oyster)
Lineage: Eukaryota; Metazoa; Mollusca; Bivalvia; Ostreida; Ostreidae
Exons: 2
Source: RefSeq, a predicted model, not a curated record
GCAUCAUUAAUAUUACAUAUCUAUCAUGACAGCAAAUUCCUUAAGUUAUUUAGCACAAAAAUCAAACAGAACACAUGGAUAUUGACUGAGUUCAUUUCUUUUGUCAGAACUGGGAACCAAAUUGUUCCCAAAAGGUUGUAAAACCAUUGAAUCCAAGAAUUCUGGAAAACGCCAUUAGUAUGAAGUCUGAAGUUAAGUGUUCUUCAAUCAUCUGUUGCAAAGGAUCUAUCAUACACAUAAAGCCUUUAAGGAAACUGGGUCAGGUCAAAGAGGUCCUAAGGAGUUGUAGCCCUCUUCCAAAAACAUCAGAAUAAAAAAAUCGGAGGGCUACAUUAUUGCAACUAGGCCCCAACCUACCCCUGGGGACCAUGAUUUGUGAUUGAAAUUGGUCUAGUGGUUCUGGAGAAGAAGAUGAAAAAGUGAAAAUGUGAACUUUUAGCUCAGGUGAGCUAAACACUAGACAGCUAUUCAUUAAAAAUUACAAAC